UGGGGAAUCUUGCGCAAUGGGCGAAAGCCUGACGCAGCGACGCCGCGUGAGUGAUGAAGGCCUUCGGGUUGUAAAGCUCUGUGGGGAGAGAAGAAUAAGUGCGGGCUAAUACCCCGCAUGAUGACGGUAUCUCCUUAGCAAGCACCGGCUAACUCUGUGCCAGCAGCCGCGGUAAGACAGAGGGUGCAAACGUUGUUCGGAUUUACUGGGCGUAAAGGGCGCGUAGGCGGCAUGACAAGUCACUUGUGAAAUCUCUGGGCUUAACCCAGAACGGCCAAGUGAUACUGUCGCGCUAGAGUGCAGAAGGGGCAAUCGGAAUUCUUGGUGUAGCGGUGAAAUGCGUAGAUAUCAAGAGGAACACCUGAGGUGAAGACGGGUUGCUGGGCUGACACUGACGCUGAGGCGCGAAAGCCAGGGGAGCAAACGGGAUUAGAUACCCCCGUAGUCCCUGAGCGGGCUGGCAAGGCGCAU
RNAcentral lists this ribosomal RNA (471 nucleotides) under uncultured bacterium. RNAcentral's name for it is "bacterial SSU rRNA". It matches the Rfam family "Bacterial small subunit ribosomal RNA", at positions 355 to 825 of the family's 1533-position model. The record is from RNAcentral.